GACGAACGCUGGCGGCGUGCUUAACACAUGCAAGUCGAACGGAAAGGCCCUGCUUUUGUGGGGUGCUCGAGUGGCGAACGGGUGAGUAACCCGUGAGUAACCUGCCCUUGACUUUGGGAUAACUUCAGGAAACUGGGGCUAAUACCGGAUAGGAGCUCCUGCUGCAUGGUGGGGGUUGGAAAGUUUCGGCGGUUGGGGAUGGACUCGCGGCUUAUCAGCUUGUUUGUGGGGUAGUGGCUUACCAAGGCUUUGACGGGUAGCCGGCCUGAGAGGGUGACCGGCCACAUUGGGACUGAGAUACGGCCCAGACUCCUACGGGAGGCAGCAGUGGGGAAUAUUGCACAAUGGGCGGAAGCCUGAUGCAGCAACGCCGCGUGCGGGAUGACGGCCUUCGGGUUGUAAACCGCUUUCGCCUGUGACGAAGCGUGAGUGACGGUAAUGGGUAAAGAAGCACCGGCUAACUACGUG
This 468-nucleotide ribosomal RNA is filed under the name uncultured bacterium. RNAcentral's name for it is "partial 16S ribosomal RNA". It matches the Rfam family "Bacterial small subunit ribosomal RNA", at positions 28 to 507 of the family's 1533-position model. The record is from RNAcentral.